AUGUUGGUGCGGAUGUCACAAGAGAAGUUGCUCAGAAUUGUUUGGAAUUGAAUAACAGCAGUGAGAAGCAGCCCCUCAUUGGCCCGCUAUAGAGAGCACCCACGGCUGACUACAUAAUUUGCAGGGUCGGAUGCAAAAUCAAAAGGUUUUGAAGUCCAACAGAGACGUCUGUAUGAGAAACAAGAGGCUACAGGACAAAAUAGAUUCAUCUUCAACAUUCCCUGCAUAUUAUCAGAGCUGAUAUAAAGGGGAAGAGGGAAGUACUGGUUUGGUGAUACAUUGCUGCCAUAUCCCAGGAGAAGACCUUCAAGCUUUACAUUUGGACUUGGACGCAAGAACUUCAAGAGGAUGGAGUCACUUGUGGUAUUGAUGUGGACUUUGAGGUUUGGCCUUUUACCUAACAAUGGGAAUGAAAAC
This 417-nucleotide long non-coding RNA is filed under the name Homo sapiens (human). RNAcentral's name for it is "HSALNT0057665". Lineage: Eukaryota; Metazoa; Chordata; Mammalia; Primates; Hominidae. The record is from RNAcentral.